UUUGAAAUUGUUCUUGGGUAUCGAGAAGAGCUGAGGAAAUGAAGCUAUUGUUCUUAUAUCAAGUUUCUCUUAGUUGUAGAGUGGGUAUAGUUCUUGUAGUAGCUCCAAGUUUAUUGCUAAGAUGGAUGUUAAAAGAGGAGUGUGACAUGGUUUUUUGUUUUGAUCCAAGGCUGGCUACACUAGCUGAGCAAAGUGCUUGACGAAGCCAUUGUUGUCACAAUAGGUUGUUUCCUUAGAGGUGUGUGCUCUCAAGUGGUUGAAGCAUACAUGAGGGGAAUUGUAUGAGUUGUUUUUUUGUAAUAGAUGCACAAGCAAUUCCUUAAGAAAGUUGUCUAUUGGAAGGUGAGUUUUUUGGGGUAAGAGAUGAAGGAUAUUGAUGCAACAAGUUUGAAGUUAUGAAGAUGUUUACCCAGGAGGCAAUAAUAGAUCAAGGUUUUGUGCUUGAGUGGUAAAAUUAAAGAGUUCAAUGCAAUUGUAGAUCAAUAGAAGGAGUCCUUGUGAAUAUAUUCCUAUUUCUUAUUACAUAGCUGAUGCUUAGCUUUUUGCAUCUCUCUGCUACUAUCCCCUGGAGUACUUUGAGAUUUGUAGUUGAAUUCGGUUUUGGAAAAGUGUGAAAGAAGUCGGAUCAUUCAGCCAUGGAUAGAUUAUUCUAAUAAGGAUGUUCCUCUUGAGUGAAUGAUCAUGAGUCCAAUUUUCACACUCUAAAGUUGAAUGUGGUUAGUCCUACCUAAGAUCUAGAGUUCGCUGUAGUGGAUUUUGGCAUUGGAGAUUUAGAAGCAUUGUAUCUAUGGAAAAUCAUGUGACAUCUUUGCGGAUCAUCGAACUAAAGUGUAUUCUCGUUAAGAAUUAGUUAACUUGAGACAGAGAAGGUGGCUUGAGUUGAUUAAGGAGUAUGAUUUGACUAUUCAGUAUCACCCUAGCAAGGUGAAUUUUGUUGCAGAUGCGCUUAGCAGGAGAACUGGUGUCCCUAAGAUUCAUAUGCCUUUGAUUGUUGAAUUGGACAACAUUGGUAUUUCUCUGUGCUAUGCUGGUGUUGCCAUAAGGAGACUCAGUUGGUGAUUCAGUAACCAUUACAUGAGCAUAUAUGGUG
Molecule: long non-coding RNA, 1090 nt
Filed under: Setaria viridis
Lineage: Eukaryota; Viridiplantae; Streptophyta; Magnoliopsida; Poales; Poaceae
Description: long non-coding RNA (SVIR_LNC007139)
Source: RNAcentral